This 329-nucleotide ribosomal RNA is filed under the name uncultured eukaryote. RNAcentral's name for it is "partial 18S ribosomal RNA". It matches the Rfam family "Eukaryotic small subunit ribosomal RNA", at positions 1470 to 1796 of the family's 1831-position model. The record is from RNAcentral.
CCCUUAGAUGUUCUGGGCCGCACGCGCGCUACACUGAUGCAUUCAACGAGUCUAAAACCUGCUCUGAUAGGGGUGGGUAAUCUUUUGAAUGUGCAUCGUGAUUGGGAUAGAUGAUUGCAAUUUUUCAUCUUCAACGAGGAAUGCCUAGUAAACGCAAGUCAUCAGCUUGCAUUGAUUACGUCCCUGCCCUUUGUACACACCGCCCGUCGCUCCUACCGAUUGAAUGAUCCGAUGAAUAUCAUGGAUUGAGGAUGCAAGUAGGUUAGCCUAUCUUCAUCUUCGAGAAGUGAAGUAAAGCUUAUCAUUUAGAGGAAGGAGAAGUCGUAACA